UAUUCCUGGCCUUUUGGGGAAGGAGUUUUUGUCCCUCCGUGGAAUCGCGGCUUGGCUCGGCAAGGACCCAAAGACCCCAUUCCCACCUCCAUCCAGGGAUUUAAGCCCCAACUUCCCAAAUUCCACCCUAAUUCCAAAGGUUUGUGCACACAAGCACCGCGGGGAGGUCGCCGGGGCGGACCUGCAGAACCAGGAAACUGCGAGGCCAAAAUUUAACCCCAAAAACACCUGGGAAAGCCUCAUUCCCUGCCCUGCGAAAGAGAAUUCCCGAGGAAAUCCCUGGAAAAGUUUCGGGAGCGGCCAGGGCUCGAGUCCCGGGAGGUGUCACCUCCUGGCACCUCCCGAAUCCCGCGCAAAGGUCCCCGUUCCGCCCGUUUGUUUAAACAAACACAUUCCCGACGGGACAAAUCCCCGGGAAUACCCAGAGGGAGACGGAACCCGGGGCCGUUUGGCUCCGUGGAGGGCGAAAUUUGGGAUUUUCCUGGGAUUUCUGCUGGCGGGACACCCCGGCCGAGGUUCUGCGGGAGCUUUGGGAGCUCUCGGAGCUUUUCCAUGCUCCCGGAUAUUCCCGGAGAUGAAAUCCCGCCUGGAUCCGGCUGCGCUGGGACUGCCCGAGGUGUGUGACCCGUCCGGGACCGGGACAAGCUGACCGGGCUGGGAAUGUAAAAACAGGAAAAACGGCUGAGCUCAUCCCAGCUCAUCCCAGCUCAUCCCAGUCCUCUCCCUGUCCCCAGCGGGGUGAGUCUGGCCAGGGCAGGAUGUGCCAGCCUGGGAAUGGUGUCAGGAUUUGGGGGUUGUGAGACUGGGCUGGGGCACAGGGAUCAGGGGGAUCCACCAGGAGCAGCCCAGGAUCCACCGCACCAAGGCCAGGAGGGGAUCCCAGCAGGAGCAGCUGGCUCUGGGUGCUCAGGGGGUGUCAGUGGUUUGGGGAGGAUGUUUGGAUUUUGGGAGGGGGGGUCGGAAUUCCCAGGGGUUUCCCAGUCUCAUGGGGCCUUUUAAGGGGCCAUGGCCAGGCUGAAAUCCUCCAGAUUCCAUUUGAAAUCCCACCCUAAAACCCACUCAGAUUCCAUCUCAGAUCCCACCCCAAAACCUGCUCUGAUCCAACCUCAAAACCCGCCCUAAAACCUGCUCUGAUCCCAUCCUAAAACCUGCUCUGAUCCCAUCCCAAAACCUGCUCUGAUCCAACCCUAAAACCCACUCAGAUCCCACUCCAAACCUCACUGUGUUCCCAUCCCAAAUCCACCCCAGGUCCCAUCCAAGAUCCCAUCCCAGUCCCUCUAAAGCCCCCUGGGCCCCUCUCCCCACUCUGGGGGGGUUUAUCCUCCCCUCAGGAGGUGGGAAUUUGGGGGCUGGGAGGAGCUGCAUCCUUGCAGGGUCCCCCUGGAGUGGGAGGUCCCAAUCCCAAU
This is a long non-coding RNA of Serinus canaria (Common canary), 1406 nucleotides long. RefSeq lists it as uncharacterized. Lineage: Eukaryota; Metazoa; Chordata; Aves; Passeriformes; Fringillidae. The transcript has 3 exons. The record is from RefSeq and is a predicted model, not a curated record.